CGGGGACCCGCACAAGCGGUGGAGCAUGUGGUUUAAUUCGAAGCAACGCGAAGAACCUUACCAAAUCUUGACAUCCUUUGACAACUCUAGAGAUAGAGCCUUCCCCUUCGGGGGACAAAGUGACAGGUGGUGCAUGGUUGUCGUCAGCUCGUGUCGUGAGAUGUUGGGUUAAGUCCCGCAACGAGCGCAACCCUUAAGCUUAGUUGCCAUCAUUAAGUUGGGCACUCUAAGUUGACUGCCGGUGACAAACCGGAGGAAGGUGGGGAUGACGUCAAAUCAUCAUGCCCCUUAUGAUUUGGGCUACACACGUGCUACAAUGGACAAUACAAAGGGCAGCGAAACCGCGAGGUCAAGCAAAUCCCAUAAAGUUGUUCUCAGUUCGGAUUGUAGUCUGCAACUCGACUACAUGAAGCUGGAAUCGCUAGUAAUCGUAGAUCAGCAUGCUACGGUGAAUACGUUCCCGGGUCUUGUACACACCGCCCGUCACACCACGAGAGUUUGUAACACCCGAAGCCGGUGGAGUAACCUUUUAGGAGCUAGCCGUCGAAGGUGGGACAAAUGAUUGGGGUGAAGUCGUAACAAGGUAGCCGUAUCGGAAGGUGCGGCUGGAUCACCUCCUUUCUAAG
The sequence is a ribosomal RNA, 626 nucleotides long. It matches the Rfam family "Bacterial small subunit ribosomal RNA", at positions 914 to 1533 of the family's 1533-position model.